AGUCGCACGAGAAAGUGGAGCAAUCCAUGAGUAAAGUGGCGCACGGGUGAGUAACACGUGAAUGAUCUACCUCCGAGUGGGGAAUAACCUAGAGAAAUCUGGGCUAAUACCGCAUAACACUUACGAGUCAAAGCAGCAAUGCGCUUGGAGAGGAGUUCGCGGCCGAUUAGUUGGUUGGCGGGGUAAUGGCCCACCAAGACGAUGAUCGGUAUCCGGCCUGAGAGGGCGCACGGACACACUGGAACUGAAACACGGUCCAGACUCCUACGGGAGGCAGCAGUGGGGAAUUUUGCGCAAUGGGGGAAACCCUGACGCAGCAACGCCGCGUGGAGGAUGAAAUCCCUUGGGAUGUAAACUCCUUUCGAUCGGGACGAUUAUGACGGUACCGGAAGAAGAAGCCCCGGCUAACUUCGUGCCAGCAGCCGCGGUAAUACGAGGGGGGCAAGCGUUGUUCGGAAUUAUUGGGCGUAAAGGGCGCGUAGGCGGUUUGACAAGUCUGAUGUGAAAUCUCUGGGCUCAACUCAGAGUCUGCAUUAGAAACUGUCGGGCUU
This 551-nucleotide ribosomal RNA is filed under the name uncultured bacterium. Its description in RNAcentral is "bacterial SSU rRNA". It matches the Rfam family "Bacterial small subunit ribosomal RNA", at positions 60 to 643 of the family's 1533-position model. The record is from RNAcentral.